UGCACUUCCUCGCGGUUUGCAGUGGUCUGGUAGUACGAGGCUCGGCAGUCAAUGGACAUCUUGCAACCGCGAUUUUGACAUAAACGAAGUGCUGUCUUUUUGCGCACCUUUCGAGCAGUAACCUGCGCCGUUUAUUGAAAGGGGGCCUCAGUUUUUGUCGUCUGCUGAACGUGGUUUUCUCGGCACAAAUCAACUUCAAUAAAUUAGACGACAGUGUAUAUAUUGAGUAACUGGUAUUUCAUUGGGGUGGACAAGGUCUGUGACUGUUGUUGUUGACAAGAACUGUCUGGCUUGCUGCAUUCUGGGUGUUCUGACCAUUACUAAUGGCCAUGUGAAGUACGGUAUAUGUUAGUCUGCAUGUUAAUGUGGCAGCUAUGGCAGAACCUAACAUCUGUGGUUGUACUUAGAAAUGUGAGAGCGUUACCUGGGCCAUCAAGCUACACCUGGUACUGAAAUAAUCCAGGUAGCCAAGCAUGGUGUUUGUCCUUUUGUUGGCGAUGUCACAUUACUGGUUGAUGACACUUGAAAGACACCAUGUAUUUGAGACAACAGCAAAAUCAACAUGGUCCUUAAUACUUCUAAAAUGAUCUGUUGCCAGACAGCUGACAGUUGUUUGGCUGAAAUUCUUUGUCAACAUUAUUAAUUAACAAUGAGUUGAUGUCUGCUACUUGUUAUGAGUUCAUUUGAAGCCAUGCUCUAACUAGAAGAAGGAGUCAUGAUCAGUGAAACCUGCACUACUACAGAAAUGGGAGUGAUGAAAGUAGUCUUAGUUGCUAGUUGUACCAAGAGGACAGUUGUGACUUCAGGGUAGCAAUAAAAUGUUUGUCACUGCUUAUCUUGCAUAUGCAUUGGAUGUCCACAAAUAAUCAUGAGUCAUCUGACUCUUGUCAGAACUAUAAUUAUAAUAACGUCCAAACAUUGUGGUCAGAUCUAUAAUUUGUGACUUGUAAUAGACAACUGCCAUUGUGUAUGUGCAACAGCAGCAGUCGCUAUUUCUUUUCUCACCGGAUGCAGAUCAGCAUCUAUACACAUGAUGCAGUCAAAACGUAGACAAUAGCUAUUGAAUUAAAUGAGAAUUUAUUUAAUUCGCUAACAUACCACAAUGUAUAUUAAGUUCAAGA
Corticium candelabrum is the source of this 1121-nucleotide long non-coding RNA. RefSeq lists it as uncharacterized. Lineage: Eukaryota; Metazoa; Porifera; Homoscleromorpha; Homosclerophorida; Plakinidae. The transcript has 4 exons. The record is from RefSeq and is a predicted model, not a curated record.